GUCUAUCAUGAAUACAAGACACAAUAUAUGUGGUGGGAUUCACAUAUUUGUGUCUUGAAUCCAUAAUGAAUAAAAAGUGAGGUAGGUUUUGCCAAGAUAAGAAAUUCUUGCCUAUAACUGGUCCAUCAUGAACUCAAAACACAGCAUUCAUGAUGAGACUCAUACAUCCAAAGCCAAAGAAAACACAGCUACUCACAUAAAAGGAAAGAAAAUAGAACAACAC
This 223-nucleotide unclassified non-coding RNA is filed under the name Hevea brasiliensis (rubber tree). The record is from RNAcentral. Lineage: Eukaryota; Viridiplantae; Streptophyta; Magnoliopsida; Malpighiales; Euphorbiaceae.